GGGGGUAUGGUGUUAAUGGCAGCAUCGCGGUCUCCAAAACCGAAGGUCCGGGUUCAAAUCCUGGUACCCCUGCCA
RNAcentral lists this transfer RNA (75 nucleotides) under Pyrinomonadaceae bacterium. Its description in RNAcentral is "tRNA-Trp". It matches the Rfam family "tRNA". From Rfam's summary of the family: Transfer RNA (tRNA) molecules are approximately 80 nucleotides in length. Their secondary structure includes four short double-helical elements and three loops (D, anti-codon, and T loops). Further hydrogen bonds mediate the characteristic L-shaped molecular structure. tRNAs have two regions of fundamental functional importance: the anti-codon, which is responsible for specific mRNA codon recognition, and the 3' end, to which the tRNAs corresponding amino acid is attached (by aminoacyl-tRNA synthetases). tRNAs cope with the degeneracy of the genetic code in two manners: having more than one tRNA (with a specific anti-codon) for a particular amino acid; and 'wobble' base-pairing, i.e. permitting non-standard base-pairing at the 3rd anti-codon position. The record is from RNAcentral. Lineage: Bacteria; Pseudomonadati; Acidobacteriota; Blastocatellia; Blastocatellales; Pyrinomonadaceae.